UACGUAGGGCGCAAGCGUUAUUCGGAAUUACUGGGCGUAAAGGGCUCGUAGGCGGCUCGUUAAGUCAGACGUGAAAGCCCUCGGCUUAACCGGGGAACGGCGUCUGAUACUGGGUGGCUUGAAUCCGGGAGAGGGAUGCGGAAUUCCAGGUGUAGCGGUGAAAUGCGUAGAUAUCUGGAGGAACACCGGUGGCGAAGGCGGCAUCCUGGACCGGUAUUGACGCUGAGGAGCGAAAGCCAGGGGAGCAAACGGG
This 253-nucleotide ribosomal RNA is filed under the name uncultured bacterium. Its description in RNAcentral is "partial 16S ribosomal RNA". It matches the Rfam family "Bacterial small subunit ribosomal RNA", at positions 524 to 776 of the family's 1533-position model. The record is from RNAcentral.